AGAGAGGAGCCUGGGAGCCGUGGCCAGCGAAGGAGCGUGGGCUUCUCUGGGCCAGAGGCUGCGUCUUCGAGCUCCGUAGUCUUCGGGAAGAAUGAGGACAGAUCUCUUCUGGGGACAGUUGGUCCUAGCGAUUCUAGGAGCGCCUGGCAAGAAGAGGCUGCUGCCUGGAGUCCAGAACUGAAUGAAUCAACCCUCUGAAGUCAGAACAGUGUCUGAAUGAUGAGCCCCCAGGCAGAUUUCAAGAUACAGAACAUUUGG
This 258-nucleotide long non-coding RNA is filed under the name Sus scrofa (pig). RNAcentral describes it as "lncRNA (ENSSSCG00015047842.1)". Lineage: Eukaryota; Metazoa; Chordata; Mammalia; Artiodactyla; Suidae. The record is from RNAcentral.